AGAGUUUGAUCAUGGCUCAGAACGUACGCUGGCGGCACGCCUUAUACAUGCAAGUCGAACGAAGUAGCAAUACUUAGUGGCAGACGGGUGAGUAACAUGUGGGUAUCUUCCCUAUGGUGAGGAAUAACACGAGGAAACUUGUGCUAAUACCUCAUAAGUCUUUACGGAGAAAGCUUUAUGCGCCAUUGGAUGAGCCCGCACUUGAUUAGUUUGUUGGUAGGGUAAUGGCCUACCAAGACUGUGAUCAAUAGCUGAUUUGAGAGGAUGAUCAGCCACAUUGGGACUGAGACACGGCCCAAACUCCUACGGGAGGCAGCAGUAAGGAAUCUUGCACAAUGGAGGAAACUCUGAUGCAGCGAUGCCGCGUGAGUGAAGAAGGCCCUUGGGUUGUAAAGCUCUUUCGUCGGGGAAGAAAAUGACUGUACCCGAAUAAGAAGGUCCGGCUAACUUCGUGCCAGCAGCCGCGGUAAUACGAAGGGACCUAGCGUAGUUCGGAAUUACUGGGCUUAAAGAGUUCGUAGGUGGUUAAAAAAGUUGGUGGUGAAAUCCCAGAGCUUAACUCUGGAACUGCCAUCAAAACUUUUUAGCUAGAGUAUGAUAGAGGAAAGCAGAAUUUCUAGUGUAGAGGUGAAAUUCGUAGAUAUUAGAAAGAAUACCAAUUGCGAAGGCAGCUUUCUGGAUCAUUACUGACACUGAGGAACGAAAGCAUGGGUAGCGAAGAGGAUUAGAUACCCUCGUAGUCCAUGCCGUAAACGAUGUGUGUUAGACGUUGGAAAUUUAUUUUCAGUGUCGCAGCGAAAGCGAUAAACACACCGCCUGGGGAGUACGACCGCAAGGUU
This 839-nucleotide ribosomal RNA is filed under the name marine metagenome. RNAcentral's name for it is "bacterial SSU rRNA". It matches the Rfam family "Bacterial small subunit ribosomal RNA", at positions 8 to 895 of the family's 1533-position model. The record is from RNAcentral.